RNAcentral lists this RNase P RNA (362 nucleotides) under Fodinibius salicampi. Its description in RNAcentral is "RNase P RNA component class A". It matches the Rfam family "Bacterial RNase P class A". Rfam says of the family: Ribonuclease P (RNase P) is a ubiquitous endoribonuclease, found in archaea, bacteria and eukarya as well as chloroplasts and mitochondria. Lineage: Bacteria; Pseudomonadati; Balneolota; Balneolia; Balneolales; Balneolaceae. The record is from RNAcentral.
UGGGAUGACCGGGCAAUCGCCCCCGCACAUUUGUGCCAGGGAGGAAAGUCCGAACACCAACAAGCGCCGUGCUUCCUAACAGGAAGGUCCGGGUAACCGGACAGCUAGUGCCACAGAAAACAGACCGUCCGCCAGUCGGUGGAUAAGGGUGAAAAGGUGAGGUAAGAGCUCACCGUUCUGCCGAGUAAUCGGGAGAGGCUUGGUAAACCUCACGGGGUGCAAGCUCAUGCAGGCCGUGCGCUGCUUGUCGUAUUACGGUCGGGUGGAGUGCUAGUUAUUCCGGAGUGAUCCGGGAUGCAGAUAAAUGAUUGCCAUCCGCCAACCGGCGGAUACAGAAUUCGGCUUACAGGUUAUCCCUUAUU